AGUUCAUAUUAGUCUAAUCAAAGAUAUGAACUUGAUCAACUACAACUAUUGAAAUUGAUCAAGAGAAGAAAUUGAUCCAAUCAGAAUUAACUUUUAAUUAGAUUUGAUCAAUUAUUAACAUGGUCCAUUAUCAAUGAUUUCUAACCUUAGGUCUAACCCAGUUAAAUGGACUUGACUCGAGCUAACCCAUUAACCCAUGAAUUAGGAAAUUAAUACUUUAGAUCUUUGAUUCUCAAAUCUAGAUCA
Molecule: long non-coding RNA, 246 nt
Filed under: Elaeis guineensis (African oil palm)
Lineage: Eukaryota; Viridiplantae; Streptophyta; Magnoliopsida; Arecales; Arecaceae
Description: long non-coding RNA (EGUI_LNC069890)
Source: RNAcentral